UACGUAGGGGGCAAGCGUUAAUCGGAAUUACUGGGCGUAAAGCGUGCGCAGGCGGUUAUGUAAGACAGAUGUGAAAUCCCCGGGCUCAACCUGGGAACUGCAUUUGUGACUGCAUAGCUAGAGUACGGUAGAGGGGGAUGGAAUUCCGCGUGUAGCAGUGAAAUGCGUAGAUAUGCGGAGGAACACCGAUGGCGAAGGCAAUCCCCUGGACCUGUACUGACGCUCAUGCACGAAAGCGUGGGGAGCAAACAGG
RNAcentral lists this ribosomal RNA (253 nucleotides) under uncultured bacterium. Its description in RNAcentral is "partial 16S ribosomal RNA". It matches the Rfam family "Bacterial small subunit ribosomal RNA", at positions 524 to 776 of the family's 1533-position model. The record is from RNAcentral.